This 253-nucleotide ribosomal RNA is filed under the name uncultured bacterium. RNAcentral's name for it is "partial 16S ribosomal RNA". It matches the Rfam family "Bacterial small subunit ribosomal RNA", at positions 524 to 776 of the family's 1533-position model. The record is from RNAcentral.
UACGGGGGGGGCAAGCGUUGUUCGGAAUUACUGGGCGUAAAGGGCUCGUAGGCGGCCAACUAAGUCAGACGUGAAAUCCCUCGGCUUAACCGGGGAACUGCAUCUGAUACUGGAUGGCUUGAGUUCGGGAGAGGGAUGCGGAAUUCCAGGUGUAGCGGUGAGAUGCGUAGAUAUCUGGAGGAAUACCGGUGGCGAAGGCGGCAUCCUGGACCGGCAUUGACGCUGAGGAGCGAAAGCCAGGGGAGCAAACGGG